RNAcentral lists this transfer RNA (88 nucleotides) under Prototheca zopfii. RNAcentral's name for it is "tRNA-Ser". It matches the Rfam family "tRNA". Rfam says of the family: Transfer RNA (tRNA) molecules are approximately 80 nucleotides in length. The record is from RNAcentral. Lineage: Eukaryota; Viridiplantae; Chlorophyta; Trebouxiophyceae; Chlorellales; Chlorellaceae.
GGAAAAAUGGCUGAGUGGCUUAAAGCACCGACUUGCUAAGUCGGCGUAUGAUAAUAUCAUACCAUGGGUUCGAAUCCCUUUUUUUCCG